UGGGGAAUUUUGGACAAUGGGGGAAACCCUGAUCCAGCCAUCCCGCGUGUGCGAUGAAGGCCUUCGGGUUGUAAAGCACUUUUGGCAGGAAAGAAACGUCGCGGGUUAAUACCCCGCGAAACUGACGGUACCUGCAGAAUAAGCACCGGCUAACUACGUGCCAGCAGCCGCGGUAAUACGUAGGGUGCAAGCGUUAAUCGGAAUUACUGGGCGUAAAGCGUGCGCAGGCGGUUCGGAAAGAAAGAUGUGAAAUCCCAGAGCUUAACUUUGGAACUGCAUUUUUAACUACCGGGCUAGAGUGUGUCAGAGGGAGGUGGAAUUCCGCGUGUAGCAGUGAAAUGCGUAGAUAUGCGGAGGAACACCGAUGGCGAAGGCAGCCUCCUGGGAUAACACUGACGCUCAUGCACGAAAGCGUGGGGAGCAAACAGGAUUAGAUACCCUGGUAGUCCACGCCCUAAACGAUGUCAACUAGCUGUUGGGGCCUUUCGGGCCUUGGUAGCGCAGCUAACGCGUGAAGUUGACCGCCUGGGGGAGUACGGUCGCAAGA
RNAcentral lists this ribosomal RNA (547 nucleotides) under uncultured bacterium. RNAcentral's name for it is "partial 16S ribosomal RNA". It matches the Rfam family "Bacterial small subunit ribosomal RNA", at positions 355 to 893 of the family's 1533-position model. The record is from RNAcentral.